UUCACAGCCAUAUCACCCUGCAGCUCAAGACUGGUCACCCACUGAAGCUAAGCAGGGUUGAGCCUGGUCAGUACUUGGAUGGGAGACCUGCUGGGAAAACUAGGUUGCUGUUGGAA
RNAcentral lists this ribosomal RNA (116 nucleotides) under Sinocyclocheilus anshuiensis. Lineage: Eukaryota; Metazoa; Chordata; Actinopteri; Cypriniformes; Cyprinidae. The record is from RNAcentral.